GGAGAGCUGUCCGAGUGGCCGAAGGAGCAUGAUUGGAAAUCAUGUAGGCUGUUUGCGCGGCCUCGAGGGUUCGAAUCCCUCGCUCUCCGCCA
RNAcentral lists this transfer RNA (92 nucleotides) under Virgibacillus profundi. RNAcentral's name for it is "tRNA-Ser". It matches the Rfam family "tRNA". From Rfam's summary of the family: Transfer RNA (tRNA) molecules are approximately 80 nucleotides in length. Their secondary structure includes four short double-helical elements and three loops (D, anti-codon, and T loops). Lineage: Bacteria; Bacillati; Bacillota; Bacilli; Caryophanales; Bacillaceae. The record is from RNAcentral.